This 435-nucleotide ribosomal RNA is filed under the name uncultured Bacillus sp. RNAcentral's name for it is "bacterial SSU rRNA". It matches the Rfam family "Bacterial small subunit ribosomal RNA", at positions 956 to 1396 of the family's 1533-position model. Lineage: Bacteria; Bacillati; Bacillota; Bacilli; Caryophanales; Bacillaceae. The record is from RNAcentral.
GGAACGGGUAGAAACUUACGAAGUCCUGACGUCGUUGGGCAGCACUUGAGAUAGGCGCUUUGCUUUGGGGGGAGAGAGUGACCGGUGGUGCAUGGUGGUAAUCAGCUCGUCUCGUCAGAGAUUGGGUUAACUGGCGGAACGAGCGGAACCCCUGAUCUUAGUUGCCAGCAUUCAGUUGGGCACUCGAAGCUGACUGACGGUGACAAACCGUAGGAAUGUGGGGAUGACGUCAAAUCAUCAUGCCCUUAUGACCUGGACUACACACUUGCCACAAUCGAUGGUACACCCCCUGCAAACCACGAAGGUAGCUUCCUGCCAUCCCCCAUUCUCAGUUCGGAUAGUAGGCCGCAACUCGUCUCCAUGAAGCCGGAAUAGCUAGUAAUCGAGGACCAGCAUGCACCGAAGCACGUUCCCGGGCUAGGUACACGGCGCCCG